RNAcentral lists this ribosomal RNA (230 nucleotides) under uncultured microorganism. RNAcentral describes it as "partial 16S ribosomal RNA". It matches the Rfam family "Bacterial small subunit ribosomal RNA", at positions 524 to 754 of the family's 1533-position model. The record is from RNAcentral.
UACGUAUGUCGCAAGCGUUAUCCGGAAUUAUUGGGCAUAAAGGGCGUCUAGGCGGUUUAGAAAGUCUGAUGUGAAAAUGCGGGGCUCAACCCCGUAUUGCGUUGGAAACUACUAGACUAGAGUAUUGGAGAGGUAAGCGGAACUACAAGUGUAGAGGUGAAAUUCGUAGAUAUUUGUAGGAAUGCCAAUUGGGAAGCCAGCUUACUGGACAAAUACUGACGCUGAAGCGC